RNAcentral lists this long non-coding RNA (1044 nucleotides) under Gallus gallus (chicken). Its description in RNAcentral is "lncRNA (ENSGALG00010000700.1)". The record is from RNAcentral. Lineage: Eukaryota; Metazoa; Chordata; Aves; Galliformes; Phasianidae.
CCCCCCCCCAACUCGUGGGUCACUUAAGGGGGGGGUUAUGGGGUUAUGGGGGGGUUAUGGGUCCCCCUUCGUCCCCCCACCCCAACUCGUGGGUCACUUAAGGGGGGGGUUAUGGGGUUAUGGGGGGGUUAUGGGUCCCCCUUCGUCCCCCCACCCCAACUCGUGGGUCGCUUAAGGGGGGGUUAAGGGGGGGUUAUGGGUCCCCCUUCAUCCCCCCCAUCCCAACUUGUGGGUCGCUUCAUGGAGGGGUAAUGGGGGGGAUAUGUGGGGGUUAUGGGUCCCCCUUCGUACCCCCACCCCGACUCGUGGGUCGCUUCACGGGGGGGGGUUAUGGGGGGGUUAUGGGGGGGGUAAUGGGGGGGUUAUGGGGGGGUUAUGGGGUGUGUGGGGGGGUUAUGGGUCCCCCUUCGUCCCCCCAUCCCAACUCGUGGAUCUCUUAAUGGGGGGGUUAUGGGGUUAUGGGGGGGUUAUGGGUCCCCCUUCGUCCCCCCCCCCCCCCAACUCGUGGGUCGCUUAAGGGGGGGGUUAUGGGGUUAUGGGGGGGUUAUGGGUCCCCCUUCAUCCCCCCACCCCAACUCGUGGGUCGCUUAAGGGGGGGGGGUUAUGGGGUUAUGGGGGGGUUAUGGGUCCCCCUUCAUCCCCCCAUCCCAACUCGUGGGUCACUUACGGGGGGGUUUAUGGGGUUAUGGGGGGGUUAUGGGGGGGUUAUGGGUCCCCCUUCAUCCCCCCCACCCCAACUUGUGGGUCGCUUAAGGGGGGGUUAUGGGGGGGUUAUAGGGGGUUAUGGGGUUAUGGGGGGGUUAUGGGGGGGGUUAUGGGGGGGGUCAUGGGGCGGUUCGGGUCGCGGGGCUCAGCUGAUGUAGACGCGGUGGAAGUCGUGGGCCCCGAAGGCGGCGUUGCAUUUGGGGCACUUCCUCUGGCGGGUGUCGUAGCGGCUCUUGACGCACUCGAAGCAGAAGACGUGGAAGCAUUUGGUCAGCACCGCGUCCUUCUUGCGCGCGUUGCAGCACGGGCACGUCAGGCGGGCCUAUGGGGGGGGGGGGG